This is a long non-coding RNA of Felis catus (domestic cat), 1005 nucleotides long. RefSeq lists it as uncharacterized. The transcript has 7 exons. NCBI's taxonomy places the organism in Eukaryota, Metazoa, Chordata, Mammalia, Carnivora, Felidae. The record is from RefSeq and is a predicted model, not a curated record.
AUAAUGAAACAUGUUCAGGAUGGUUUGUUUUUCUUCCACACAGUCUAUGCAAGUCAGAAUCAACCUCCAUCCGCCUCCAUCCUUUAUGAGACCUAAGACGUGAUGCAGCUCCAAUGGGAAAUAUCAGUUGUGUCUCUACCAAGGAUGCAGAAAAAGACAAGAUUCAGGCUUGUUUCCGGUAAGAAACGCUGACAGAAAUUCAGAAGAACGGGAGCUGCAUUCCAUUAGGACUUGAAUACACGAAAUGUUCGUCUCAGGACCUUCUAGAAGAAUGAGCUGGGACCCACUUUCCGAGUCCUGCUGGAACCAGUGACCAAGAUAUCGGCCUGCACUAGGGUACCUACCUCCUUUUCGGAUAGACUGUAUUCCCGGUAAUUGCGUCCUCUGGAAAAAUGAGCUGAAAUUCUAAAAGACAAAGUUAACACAAAUGCACUUUGAUGUCUGCUGUAAGUUUCCAUGUUUUAGCUGUACCUGUGACACAGGACAUGAGAGAACGUGCUCAUGUGAACACAAGUGAAGGACACCGUGGGGACUUGCCACACAGGUUCAUCUCCUAGCCAGAAUCAAGAAAGGAAGACACAGCAGCCACACUGUUCCCACAGAGGUGAGGUCUGGAAGGGAUCACCCAGGCCGGGAGACAUCUGUUUGGAGUGUGCAGUCAUCCUCCUCUCAUUAUUUCCUGAAACUCACGGAAAAACCUUAAGGCAGCCUCUUUGGUUCCAUCCCAUCCAGUCUUGGAUACAGAAAAAUAAUGGACUUCUAUAAGAGUUGCAACACCACGUCGUCUACUAGACAACUAACAGUGCAGGCGUCAUCCCUGGAAACACCCAUAAAAACGCAAGUCAAAUGACCACACCUGCAUUUCAAGGUUGCAAAGACGAGGGCCAUGAAAUGGCACUACCACGUUGAUGGGUAUGAUUCAUUGUACGACACACUGCUUUCCUACAGAUGACGACAAUUGACACCACCCCCGAGGAAUGUUAGCAUGGACAAAGUUUCCACACA